GAUGAAGAACGUAGCGAAAUGCGAAAAGUAAUGUGAAUUGCAGAAUUCAGUGAAUCAUCGAAUCUUUGAACGCACAUUGCGCCCGCUGGUACUCCGGCGGGCACGCCUGUCCGAGCGUCAUUUCAACCCGCAAGCCCUCCUUCGGGAUGGGCCUGGUGUUGGGGCUCGGCCGCCAUCUCCGGCGGCCGUCCCCUAAAUACAGUGGCGGUCACGUCGCGACUCCUUUGCGUAGUAGAAACACCUCGCUCCGGAUAGCAACGCGGUCCACGCCGUAAAACCCCCAAUUUUCAAUGGUUGACCUCGGAUCAGGUGGGAAUACCCGCUGAACUUAAGCAUAUCAAUAAGCGGAGGA
This 352-nucleotide unclassified non-coding RNA is filed under the name soil metagenome. RNAcentral describes it as "partial contains 5.8S ribosomal RNA, internal transcribed spacer 2, and large subunit ribosomal RNA". The stretch from base 1 to 120 matches the Rfam family "5.8S ribosomal RNA", at positions 35 to 154 of the family's 154-position model. The record is from RNAcentral.